RNAcentral lists this ribosomal RNA (466 nucleotides) under uncultured bacterium. RNAcentral's name for it is "partial 16S ribosomal RNA". It matches the Rfam family "Bacterial small subunit ribosomal RNA", at positions 28 to 507 of the family's 1533-position model. The record is from RNAcentral.
GACGAACGCUGGCGGCGCGCCUAACACAUGCAAGUCGAACGAGCGCGAGAGAGCUUGCUUUCUUGAGCGAGUGGCGGACGGGUGCGUAACGCGUGAGGAACCUGCCUCAAAGAGGCGGACAACAGUUCGAAACGACUGCUACUACCGCAUAAGCCCACGGUGCCGCAUGGCACAGAGGGAAAAGGAGCAAUCCGCUUUGAGAUGGCCUCGCGUCCGAUUAGCUAGUUGGUGAGGUAACGGCCCACCAAGGCCACGAUCGGUAGCCGGACUGAGAGGUUGAACGGCCACAUUGGGACUGAGACACGGCCCAGACUCCUACGGGAGGCAGCAGUGGGGAAUAUUGCACAAUGGGGGAAACCCUGAUGCAGCGACGCCGCGUGGAGGAAGAAGGUCUUCGGAUUGUAAACUCCUGUUGUUGGGGAAGAUAAUGACGGUACCCAACAAGGAAGAGACGGCUAACUACGUG